CUAUUCUUGAGGAAAUUACAGUCCAGGUGGGGAAAUAGGACAGGCACAGUAAUACCUCUGAUGCUUGAACUUCGGUUAUAAUUCAGAUGUUAUGCUCAGUGUUCUAUUUAAACAAUGCUAUUUAUCUUCACAACUCCUAUGAGGAGACGCAGGUUGGAUUCCUGGGUUGGGAAGAUCCCCUGGACAAGGACAUGGCAACCCACUGCAGUAUUCUUGCCUGGAAGAGGAGCCGGGUGGGCUACAGCCCAUGAGAUUGCAGAGAGUCGGACGUGACCGAGCGACUAAACAGCAACAAACCUACACAUCGGAUUUUCUCUCCCACUCUCACUGUGUGAGAGACUAACGCAUUUGCGUGAGAUUCUGAGGAGCAGAGGCUGCUCCAGGAGACACCACAUCAGGAUGAGAACAUUUCAGAUCAGGGCAAAGAUUGCCUGCUCAAAGUCAUGCAGCCCCUGCCAGAGACCCAGACCCAGCUCCUGCCCUCUGCCCCACCAGACCCGUGGCUGUCCCUCUGUCCUGCUGUCUGCUGUCUGUCUGCUGUGCUCCUGGUACCCACAUGCGGGUCAGCUCUCUGUCCACAGAGACCCAUCCCCACGAGUCCUCUGAGAUGCCACUGCUGACCAGUAUGCCAGGGGCAGGAUGUCUAUGAUAAAACAGACUUGUUAACUUCUGACACCCGGUCAAUGAUCUGGUGACUAUAUAGAAUGAGCUCGUGGAACAGAAGAAACUUUAUCUGAUUAGAUGAGGGGAAGGAGUGCUUUUAAGAAGAGUGGAACAAUCUCUAAGGUAGGAAGUUGCCUCUGAUAAAGGAACUCCAAAGAGAUACAACAGAGCAACUUCCCAACAACACAGAUCACAGAAGGCCUCUUAAAUAGGACUAGAAGUUGAAAUUUUCGUUUUAAAUGUUUAAUUUUGUAUUGGGGGUAUAACUGAUUAAAAAUGUGAUAGUUUCAGGUGGACAGCAAAGGAACUCAGCCAUAUGUAUACAUGUAUCCAUUUCCCCCCAAACUUGCCUCUCCUCCAGGCAGCCAAUAAUACUACUGAUACCAUAAUACUAAUACGACUGAUACCAUAAUACUAAUAAUACCAUAAUACUGAGCAGAGUUCCCU
Bos taurus (domestic cattle) is the source of this 1110-nucleotide long non-coding RNA. Lineage: Eukaryota; Metazoa; Chordata; Mammalia; Artiodactyla; Bovidae. The record is from Ensembl.